ACAUUCUCAAAGGCACGGUCUGAACCCUCGGGCGACGCCGUUACCCUUUCGGAUGUGAGCCUCUUUGCUGCAAAGCAAUGGCUUGAAAAUGAUUGUGUUUGCAACCGGCCUUCUUGGUUCGGUUCUCUCAAGUGCAACAGAUGUUAGCUCAUUCGUUACCUCUUGAAGAGAAGCGAUUCCAUGGUCUGGAUCUCACACUCAACCAACAUACACUUUCAGUGAUCCUUGGAUCAUUGUCUGAUA
Molecule: unclassified non-coding RNA, 243 nt
Filed under: uncultured Powellomyces
Lineage: Eukaryota; Fungi; Chytridiomycota; Chytridiomycetes; Spizellomycetales; Powellomycetaceae
Description: sequence contains ITS2
Source: RNAcentral